This 1313-nucleotide long non-coding RNA is filed under the name Mus musculus (house mouse). RNAcentral's name for it is "RIKEN cDNA A530017D24 gene". The record is from RNAcentral. Lineage: Eukaryota; Metazoa; Chordata; Mammalia; Rodentia; Muridae.
AUGACUUAAAAGGUGAGUACUCGUUUCUUUUUUAUGUUAAUAAGUGACACUGAAGCUGGAAGAACAGAGGACUGUAGGAUCACACAGCCAGGGACAAGCCAGUAGCUUAAGUUUUCUUAACCCUUUGACAUCUGCUAUACUACUCAGUAGUGAGUCCUGGCAUCCAUUAUAGCAGUAUGGAAACACUGGCAGACACUUGGCUUAUUUAUCACCUUUUGGUACAACAAUAAGCUACGCCAUAUGCAAAGACUGUGUAUGAGGAAUAUGUAUCUGAUUAUGUAUAGAUAGAUUAAGAGCAAUGCUGGGAUUAAAGGUGUGCUCCACCACGCCCGCCACUCCAUAUUUUCAUUCACAGGUUUCUCCUCAGCCCAUUCUUUCUCCAAAACCUGCCUGUUCUGCAUGGUGUUCUUUGAUCCUCUCACAGUCCUGAUGCUCGCGACCAGGAACACCUGCUCCAAGCUGCUGUGACAUUCACAUUCAGACCCUUACUUGGAAGGCUACCCUCUCUAGUAUCUGGCCAGCUGCAAACUGUUGGGGAAUCAAGGGGAUCUCUCUCUCCCUUCCUCUCCCCAAAAGUUUUUGGUACACCAUUCCCAACUUUUUUUCACAACUUCAUUUGCUCUUGAGACAUCACAAUCCCUGACUGCCUAACAAUCUGGUCUCAACCUCUCCCACACCCCUGUAACUCACCUUGACAUUUCCUGCUGUUGUUAGCUUCUGAUGGCUUCUCACAUUUAUAGUCUGUGUGAGCCUCAGAAAGGCAAGUUUUGUGCAGUUCCAAGCUUCUCCUACUUGAACGAAUUGGGAGUGGGUGCUUUUUUGUUUUGUUUUGUUUUGUUUUUCUAUAAAAGCAGGACAGAGAGAUUUCUCAUUAUUCCAGGGAAACAUCCCCUCACUAGUACAAGAGUACAUUUGCAAACCAGCCUUUCAAAGAGCUAUUUCAAAAGCAAUAAGCAAGUGGUUCCAUGGUGAGGAUUACAAACACACCCUCAGGGUCAGUCAAGGGUGAGGAGGACAGUUCUACUAUGACAAGACACAUUGGGCCAGACUCCGUGGGAGAGUGUCAGACAUACAUCUUUAAAGUGCUGUAUCACAAACAGCUUAGAUGCAAGCAAAGGAGAGCUACUUAAAGAAACUAGGUGUAGAUAUCAUGAAGGUGUUGAUUCAAAAGAUGCUUGUGGAGAAUUUGAAGCUAAUUGUUAACUUAAUGUGAGAAUGGGGAAAAGCAAUAUUUUGUAUUAUUGUAAUAUAUAUAUAUAUUGUUAUUUUAAAAUAAGCAUGUAUAAUUAAAUAAAUUAGAUAUUAUAAAUAGA